This 114-nucleotide small nuclear RNA is filed under the name Salmo salar (Atlantic salmon). RNAcentral describes it as "U1 spliceosomal RNA". It matches the Rfam family "U1 spliceosomal RNA", at positions 51 to 166 of the family's 166-position model. From Rfam's summary of the family: U1 is a small nuclear RNA (snRNA) component of the spliceosome (involved in pre-mRNA splicing). Its 5' end forms complementary base pairs with the 5' splice junction, thus defining the 5' donor site of an intron. The record is from Rfam by way of RNAcentral. Lineage: Eukaryota; Metazoa; Chordata; Actinopteri; Salmoniformes; Salmonidae.
GGCAAGGCUCAGCCAUUGCACUCCGGCUGUGCUGACCCCUGCAAAUUUCCCAAAUGUGGAAAUCUCGAUUGCAUUAUUUCUGGUAGUGGUGGACUGCAUUCGCACUCUCCCCUG